AUCUCCAGUUGUGUGAUUUUUUUUUCCUUUAGUAAUUAUAUGGGACCAACCCCCACCACCUAUCUCCCCUCUGCACAGCGACCAGCUCCCCUCCUCCAAAAACUAAUGAAACGUCGUUCCUCUGGAGGGAGCAGGAUAAUGGGCAGGGAGCCAGAAAUGAUAAUGAAGCGCCUCAUUCUCAGCAUUUUUUUUUAAUUCCUCCCCCACCUCAUCCUCCUCAUCCUCCUCCUCUUCAUCCCACCAUCAUCUUCGUUUCUUUCUGCUUCCUCCGGACCGAGCCGCCGCCCUGCCGCCCCCUCCCUCCUUCCCUCCCCCUGCCAGGAAGCAUCCUGGGUAAUUUCCUCUCUUAUUGAAUUGGGACGGGGGAAGAUAAAGGAGUGCUAAUGGAGGAUGGCAAAUCUGCAGCUCCUUCCUCCUCCUGUCUCUGGGGUAAAAGUACAAAUACCCCUCGCUGCCUCCGCGGCCAGACAAAAGGCGAUGACCUUCUCCCUUUUUCUUCUUCUUCUGUGUUUUAUUUGUGCUGGGGAUGCUGCUCAGGCUGUCCGUGGAGUCGCUGUGAACCCGAUGCUCCCUCAGUCCUCUCUCAUUUCUGUAGGACGAGGCUGACGUCUGGAACGUCCACAGAACGUACACAGAUCAAUAUGUCUUCAAAGAACACACCGGACCGUCAUCAUUGAUCGGUGGUUGAUAGUCUGGAUGGAGAGCUGAUCCUCCAGAGAGGCAGCGAGAGACGACUGACGGAGCAGCGAUGAGAUUUUAUCUUUAGAAACUACAAACAAGCUCAGACUGUUAUAAAAUGAUCCAAAGGGCGACUUAAGGGUUCAUUUUUUAUGCAAUUUACCAGAUUUAAAUCUUUAGUAUACAUAAUUUUUCUUUCAAAGAACAGGACACGUCUUUAAAUCCCCAUUUAAUUUAUCUGUAACUUAACAAAAGAGAUAAAAUCUGUAAAAUAACACUAGAAAAAUAUGUAAUUUACCAGACUUAAAUCCUCAGUUUGCAUAUUUUUCUUUCAAAUUAAAGAAAAUAUUAGGGAAAUAGAUUUUUUUAUGAUUUUUUUUAUUGCUUUAGGCUGAUUUGAAGACAGUAAAACUAUAUAAUUUUGUGGUCACAUAAAAAUUACAGAUUUUUUAUAUUGGUGCUAUGUUUUUUUUAUUUGACUAGUUAUCUGUAAUUUAACACAACGGAACAUCUAUAAAAUAACACAUUAAAAAAUAUCUAAAAAUAUCCAGUUAAUAUACAUUUUUUUCAAAUAUUUCAAAUUAUAUUUUUUUAGUUAUGAGAAAGAAUGAAUUAACCAUUUGAAAAAAAUAAAUUCUUGAAGUCGAAAUUAUGUGUUUUAUUUCACUAAUUAUUACCACUGAUAAUUUAACAAACACUAGUAGUUUUAAUGAUUGUAAAGUUGAAAAUAGUAAAAGAAACAGAAGCUAAACAUGGAGUUUAAAAAUAUCUGUGCCGUUUAUCUAAAACUCUUUGUUUUUGCACAAUAAUUAAAUUAUUGACUCUUUGUUUUGUAUUAAAUGUAAACAAACACUUUUAAAUCCUGGAGCUGUCACACUAUGCAGUAAAUGAAUGACUUUUCCAGACAUUUUCCACAUUUAGACGCUAACUGUGGCUCAACUGGUUUUAGAUCCUCUGUUUUCUGAUAAUUAAAAUGAACAACUGACUUACA
Acanthochromis polyacanthus (spiny chromis) is the source of this 1669-nucleotide long non-coding RNA. RefSeq lists it as uncharacterized. NCBI's taxonomy places the organism in Eukaryota, Metazoa, Chordata, Actinopteri, Pomacentridae. The transcript has 2 exons. The record is from RefSeq and is a predicted model, not a curated record.